GAGACUCUGUGCGCGUGCAUAUCAAUAAGCGGAGGAAAAGGAAACUAACAAGGAUUCCCUUAGUAACGGCGAGUGAAGCGGGAAGAGCUCAGAUUUGAAAUCUUCAAGGUUCUACCUUGACGAAUUGUAGUUUAAAGAAGUGUUUUCUGUUAGAUGAGUAGCAAAAGUUCCUUGGAAUGGGACAUCAUAGAGGGUGAGAAUCCCGUAUUUGGUUAUUCAUUCUAGCUUUGUGAUACACUUUCAAAGAGUCGGAUUGUUUGGGAAUAGCAGUCCAAAAUGGGUGGUAAAUUUCAUCUAAAGCUAAAUAUUGGCGAGAGACCGAUAGCGAACAAGUACCGUGAGGGAAAGAUGAAAAGAACUUUGAAAAGAGAGUUAAACAGUACGUGAAAUUGUCAAAAGGGAAGCGUUUGACACCAGUGUUGUUUUUCCGAAAAUCAAUUACGAAUGGCUUGAUUUUGUGUUGUAUUGACCUUAUCAGCUUUCUUCACUUUUUUCGAGUCUUUCUUAAUGCACUUUUCGGUUAACAAGUCAACAUCAAUUUCUUUUGUUGUAAAAGAGUAUUCGGAAGGUGGCUUUCUUUUCGGAGAAAGUGUUUAUAGCCCUAUACUUCUACAAUCGGAGAGAUUGAGGUCUGCAGCGUAGAUCCUUCGGGGUUAGAUACACUUUGUGCUAAGUUGUAGCUUUUCAUAGACAACUUGUUGACUAUGUUUAGUCAUGCGGCUUACUCGCUUAUGCUAUUUUACCUACGCUUAGGAUGUUGACUGAUAUGUAGUCGUA
RNAcentral lists this ribosomal RNA (777 nucleotides) under uncultured Neocallimastigales. Its description in RNAcentral is "partial large subunit ribosomal RNA". It matches the Rfam family "Eukaryotic large subunit ribosomal RNA", at positions 23 to 644 of the family's 3401-position model. Lineage: Eukaryota; Fungi; Neocallimastigomycota; Neocallimastigomycetes; Neocallimastigales. The record is from RNAcentral.